This 468-nucleotide ribosomal RNA is filed under the name uncultured bacterium. RNAcentral describes it as "partial 16S ribosomal RNA". It matches the Rfam family "Bacterial small subunit ribosomal RNA", at positions 28 to 507 of the family's 1533-position model. The record is from RNAcentral.
GACGAACGCUGGCGGCGUGCUUAACACAUGCAAGUCGAACGGAAAGGCCCUGCUUUUGUGGGGUGCUCGAGUGGCGAACGGGUGAGUAACACGUGAGUAACCUGCCCUUGACUUUGGGAUAACUUCAGGAAACUGGGGCUAAUACCGGAUAGGAGCUCCUGCUGCAUGGUGGGGGUUGGAAAGUUUCGGCGGUUGGGGAUGGACUCGCGGCUUAUCAGCUUGUUGGUGGGGUAGUGGCUUACCAAGGCUUUGACGGGUAGCCGGCCUGAGAGGGUGACCGGCCACAUUGGGACUGAGAUACGGCCCAGACUCCUACGGGAGGCAGAAGUGGGGAAUAUUGCACAAUGGGCGGAAGCCUGAUGCAGCAACGCCGCGUGCGGGAUGACGGCCUUCGGGUUGUAAACCGCUUUCGCCUGUGACGAAGCGUGAGUGACGGUAAUGGGUAAAGAAGCACAGGCUAACUACGUG